UUUUUAUGAGAGUUUGAUCCUGGCUCAGGACGAACGCUGGCGGCGUGCCUAAUACAUGCAAGUCGAACGCUUCUUUUUCCACCGGAGCUUGCUCCACCGGAAAAAGAGGAGUGGCGAACGGGUGAGUAACACGUGGGUAACCUGCCCAUCAGAAGGGGAUAACACUUGGAAACAGGUGCUAAUACCGUAUAACAAUCGAAACCGCAUGGUUUUGAUUUGAAAGGCGCUUUCGGGUGUCGCUGAUGGAUGGACCCGCGGUGCAUUAGCUAGUUGGUGAGGUAACGGCUCACCAAGGCCACGAUGCAUAGCCGACCUGAGAGGGUGAUCGGCCACAUUGGGACUGAGACACGGCCCAAACUCCUACGGGAGGCAGCAGUAGGGAAUCUUCGGCAAUGGACGAAAGUCUGACCGAGCAACGCCGCGUGAGUGAAGAAGGUUUUCGGAUCGUAAAACUCUGUUGUUAGAGAAGAACAAGGAUGAGAGUAACUGUUCAUCCCUUGACGGUAUCUAACCAGAAAGCCACGGCUAACUACGUGCCAGCAGCCGCGGUAAUACGUAGGUGGCAAGCGUUGUCCGGAUUUAUUGGGCGUAAAGCGAGCGCAGGCGGUUUCUUAAGUCUGAUGUGAAAGCCCCCGGCUCAACCGGGGAGGGUCAUUGGAAACUGGGAGACUUGAGUGCAGAAGAGGAGAGUGGAAUUCCAUGUGUAGCGGUGAAAUGCGUAGAUAUAUGGAGGAACACCAGUGGCGAAGGCGGCUCUCUGGUCUGUAACUGACGCUGAGGCUCGAAAGCGUGGGGAGCAAACAGGAUUAGAUACCCUGGUAGUCCACGCCGAAAACGAUGACUGCUAUGUGUUUGCGGGUGUCAGCUCUGCAGGGCUGCAGCUAACGCAUUAAGAACUCCGCCUGGGGAGUACGACCGCCCGAUUGACACUCAACGACUUUGACGGGGGCCCGCACAAGCGGUGGAGCAUG
Molecule: ribosomal RNA, 971 nt
Filed under: Enterococcus faecium
Lineage: Bacteria; Bacillati; Bacillota; Bacilli; Lactobacillales; Enterococcaceae
Description: bacterial SSU rRNA
Rfam family: Bacterial small subunit ribosomal RNA
Source: RNAcentral